RNAcentral lists this ribosomal RNA (303 nucleotides) under uncultured bacterium. RNAcentral's name for it is "partial 16S ribosomal RNA". It matches the Rfam family "Bacterial small subunit ribosomal RNA", at positions 507 to 807 of the family's 1533-position model. The record is from RNAcentral.
AGCAGUAGCCGCGGUAAUACAGAGGGUGCGAGCGUUAAUCGGAUUUACUGGGCGUAAAGCGUGCGUAGGCGGCUUCUUAAGUCGGAUGUGAAAUCCCUGAGCUUAACUUAGGAAUUGCAUUCGAUACUGGGAAGCUAGAGUAUGGGAGAGGAUGGUAGAAUUCCAGGUGUAGCGGUGAAAUGCGUAGAGAUCUGGAGGAAUACCGAUGGCGAAGGCAGCCAUCUGGCCUAAUACUGACACUGAGGUGCGAAAGCGUGGUGAGCAAACAGGAUUAGAUACCCCGGUAGUCCCUGUCUCUUAUAC